GACGAACGCUGGCGGCGUGCUUAACACAUGCAAGUCGAACGGAAAGGCCCUGCUUUUGUGGGGUGCUCGAGUGGCGAACGGGUGAGUAACACGUGAGUAACCUGCCCUUGACUUUGGGAUAACUUCAGGAAACUGGGGCUAAUACCGGAUAGGAGCUCCUGCUGCAUGGUGGGGGUUGGAAAGUUUCGGCGGUUGGGGAUGGACUCGCGGCUUAUCAGCUUGUUGGUGGGGUAGUGGCUUACCAAGGCUUUGACGGGUAGCCGGCCUGAGAGGGUGACCGGCCACAUUGGGACUGAGAUACGGCCCAGACUCCUACGGGAGGCAGCAGUGGGGAAUAUUGCACAAUGGGCGGAAGCCUGAUGCAGCAACGCCGCGUGCGGGAUGACGGCCUUCGGGUUGUAAACCGCUUUCGCCUGUGACGAAGCGUGAGUGACGGUAAUGGGUAAAGAAGCACCGGCUAACUACGUGCCAGCAGCCGCGGUGAUACGUAGGGUGCGAGCGUUGUCCGGAUUUAUUGGGCGUAAAGGGCUCGUAGGUGGUUGAUCGCGUCGGAAGUGUAAUCUUGGGGCUUAACCCUGAGCGUGCUUUCGAUACGGGUUGACUUGAGGAAGGUAGGGGAGAAUGGAAUUCCUGGUGGAGCGGUGGAAUGCGCAGAUAUCAGGAGGAACACCAGUGGCGAAGGCGGUUCUCUGGGCCUUUCCUGACGCUGAGGAGCGAAAGCGUGGGGAGCGAACAGGCUUAGAUACCCUGGUAGUCCACGCUGUAAACGGUGGGUACUAGGUGUGGGGUCCAUUCCACGGGUUCCGUGCCGUAGCUAACGCUUUAAGUACCCCGCCUGGGGAGUACGGCCGCAAGGCUAAAACUCAAAGGAAUUGACGGGGCCCCGCACAAGCGGCGGAGCAUGCGGAUUAAUUCGAUGCAACGCGUAGAACCUUACCUGGGUUUGACAUGGAUCGGGAGUGCUCAGAGAUGGGUGUGCCUCUUUUGGGGUCGGUUCACAGGUGGUGCAUGGCUGUCGUCAGCUCGUGUCGUGAGAUGUUGGGUUAAGUCCCGCAACGAGCGCAACCCUUGUUCACUGUUGCCAGCACGUUAUGGUGGGGACUCAGUGGCGACCGCCGGGGUCAACUCGGAGGAAGGUGGGGAUGACGUCAAGUCAUCAUGCCCCUUAUGUCCAGGGCUUCACGCAUGCUACAAUGGCUGGUACAGAGAGUGGCGAGCCUGUGAGGGUGAGCGAAUCUCGGAAAGCCGGUCUCAGUUCGGAUUGGGGUCUGCAACUCGACCUCAUGAAGUCGGAGUCGCUAGUAAUCGCAGAUCAGCAACGCUGCGGUGAAUACGUUCCCGGG
This 1343-nucleotide ribosomal RNA is filed under the name uncultured bacterium. RNAcentral describes it as "16S ribosomal RNA". It matches the Rfam family "Bacterial small subunit ribosomal RNA", at positions 28 to 1378 of the family's 1533-position model. The record is from RNAcentral.